GAUGAACGCUGGCGGCGUGCCUAAUACAUGCAAGUCGAGCGAACAGACGAGGAGCUUGCUCCUCUGACGUUAGCGGCGGACGGGUGAGUAACACGUGGAUAACCUACCUAUAAGACUGGGAUAACUUCGGGAAACCGGAGCUAAUACCGGAUAAUAUAUUGAACCGCAUGGUUCAAUAGUGAAAGACGGUUUUGCUGUCACUUAUAGAUGGAUCCGCGCCGCAUUAGCUAGUUGGUAAGGUAACGGCUUACCAAGGCAACGAUGCGUAGCCGACCUGAGAGGGUAAUCGGCCACACUGGAACUGAGACACGGUCCAGACUCCUACGGGAGGCAGCAGUAGGGAAUCUUCCGCAAAGGGCGAAAGCCUGACGGAGCAACGCCGCGUGAGUGAUGAAGGUCUUCGGAUCGUAAAACUCUGUUAUUAGGGAAGAACAAAUGUGUAAGUAACUACGCACGUCUUGACGGUACCUAAUCAGAAAGCCACGGCUAACUACGUG
RNAcentral lists this ribosomal RNA (497 nucleotides) under uncultured bacterium. RNAcentral's name for it is "partial 16S ribosomal RNA". It matches the Rfam family "Bacterial small subunit ribosomal RNA", at positions 28 to 507 of the family's 1533-position model. The record is from RNAcentral.